UUGGACCCGGGGGCGGUACCCGGCGCCUCCACCAAAGUGUAUGAGGAUAAAUAAAUGCAUUUUUAUGGGGGCGAAAUUAGGAUCGACAAAGGUGUAAAGAUCGCUUCUUUUACUCGGUAUUGUACCACCGUCAUCGGGCUAAAUAAACAGUUGCAAAUGACAACUAUAAAGCAGAAGUACGUCUCGCUGCUUAACGCGGUGCGGAUACUUCAAAUUUAACUCUUAAGCCGUUGCAGGUUUAAGCGGGGUUCGAAGG
RNAcentral lists this transfer-messenger RNA (256 nucleotides) under uncultured Bartonella sp. RNAcentral describes it as "partial transfer messenger RNA". It matches the Rfam family "Alphaproteobacteria transfer-messenger RNA", at positions 86 to 331 of the family's 355-position model. Rfam says of the family: Bacterial tmRNA, also known as 10Sa RNA or SsrA, is named for its dual tRNA and mRNA-like properties. Its role is to liberate the mRNA from a stalled ribosome. To accomplish this part of the tmRNA is used as a reading frame that ends in a translation stop signal. The record is from RNAcentral. Lineage: Bacteria; Pseudomonadati; Pseudomonadota; Alphaproteobacteria; Hyphomicrobiales; Bartonellaceae.